RNAcentral lists this ribosomal RNA (1745 nucleotides) under Hydromonas duriensis. RNAcentral describes it as "bacterial SSU rRNA". The stretch from base 199 to 1743 matches the Rfam family "Bacterial small subunit ribosomal RNA". The record is from RNAcentral. Lineage: Bacteria; Pseudomonadati; Pseudomonadota; Betaproteobacteria; Burkholderiales; Burkholderiaceae.
GCUCAGUUAAGACAAGAUCUUUAAAAAUUAACAGCCGAUAAGUGUGGGCGUUUAUGGUUCAGUCGAGUGACAAGUCACUAGACGUUAAACCAAUAAUGCUCAUACUUGACGAAACAAAGCAAAUUCAGAAAUGAAUUGAAAUGUCAGUCAAUACUUGAGUAGCGGUAGCGAUACCGCAAAUGCGAAAUGCAAUGAUAUAAACUGAAGAGUUUGAUCAUGGCUCAGAUUGAACGCUGGCGGCAUGCUUUACACAUGCAAGUCGAACGGUAACAUGAAGAAAGCUUGCUUUCUUUGAUGACGAGUGGCGAACGGGUGAGUAAUACAUCGGAACGUACCGUUUAGUGGGGGAUAACUACUCGAAAGAGUAGCUAAUACCGCAUACGAACUACGGUUGAAAGCGGGGGACCUUUGGGCCUCGCGCUAAACGAGCGGCCGAUGGAAGAUUAGCUAGUUGGUGAGGUAAAGGCUCACCAAGGCGACGAUCUUUAGCGGGUCUGAGAGGACGAUCCGCCACACUGGAACUGAGACACGGUCCAGACUCCUACGGGAGGCAGCAGUGGGGAAUUUUGGACAAUGGGGGCAACCCUGAUCCAGCAAUGCCGCGUGAGUGAAGAAGGCCUUCGGGUUGUAAAGCUCUUUUGUUAGGGAAGAAAUCCUUAAGGCUAAUACCCUUGGGGGAUGACGGUACCUAAAGAAUAAGCACCGGCUAACUACGUGCCAGCAGCCGCGGUAAUACGUAGGGUGCAAGCGUUAAUCGGAAUUACUGGGCGUAAAGCGUGCGCAGGCGGUCUGAUAAGACAGUCGUGAAAUCCCCGAGCUCAACUUGGGAACUGCGAUUGUAACUGUCAGACUAGAGUGUGUCAGAGGGAGGUAGAAUUCCACGUGUAGCAGUGAAAUGCGUAGAGAUGUGGAGGAAUACCGGUGGCGAAGGCGGCCUCCUGGGAUAACACUGACGCUCAUGUACGAAAGCGUGGGGAGCAAACAGGAUUAGAUACCCUGGUAGUCCACGCCCUAAACGAUGUCAACUGGUUGUUGGGUCUUCAUUGACUUAGUAACGAAGCUAACGCGUGAAGUUGACCGCCUGGGGAGUACGGUCGCAAGAUUAAAACUCAAAUGAAUUGACGGGGACCCGCACAAGCGGUGGAUGAUGUGGAUUAAUUCGAUGCAACGCGAAAAACCUUACCUACCCUUGACAUGCCACUAACGAAGCAGAGAUGCAUUAGGUGCUCGAAAGAGAAAGUGGACACAGGUGCUGCAUGGCUGUCGUCAGCUCGUGUCGUGAGAUGUUGGGUUAAGUCCCGCAACGAGCGCAACCCUUGUCAUUAGUUGCCAUCAUUAAGUUGGGCACUCUAAUGAGACUGCCGGUGACAAACCGGAGGAAGGUGGGGAUGACGUCAAGUCCUCAUGGCCCUUAUGGGUAGGGCUUCACACGUCAUACAAUGGUCGGUACAAAGGGUUGCCAAGCCGCGAGGUGGAGCCAAUCCCAUAAAACCGAUCGUAGUCCGGAUUGGAGUCUGCAACUCGACUCCAUGAAGUCGGAAUCGCUAGUAAUCGUGGAUCAGAAUGUCACGGUGAAUACGUUCCCGGGUCUUGUACACACCGCCCGUCAAACCAUGGGAGUGGGUUUCACCAGAAGUAGGUAGCCUAACCGUAAGGAGGGCGCUUACCACGGUGGGAUUCAUGACUGGGGUUAAGUCGUAACAAGGUAGCCGUAUCGGAAGGUGCGGCUGGAUCACCUCCUUUCU